GGACAAAAACUGGAAAAAAAAAAGACAAAACCUUUGAAAAAGAUGGUGGAAAGAUGAAGGAAGUAAGGCAAGAAUAGGUCAAAAAUAGUAUAAAAAACAGUGACAUAACUUCAAAAAAAGUGAAAACUUGUAAAAAGAAGAAGGACAAAAGGAAUGAAGGCAAGAAUAGGUCCAUAGAAGGCCACACAAAAGUCAAAUUUUUGGUAG
Molecule: long non-coding RNA, 207 nt
Organism: Etheostoma cragini (Arkansas darter)
Lineage: Eukaryota; Metazoa; Chordata; Actinopteri; Perciformes; Percidae
Exons: 3
Source: RefSeq, a predicted model, not a curated record